RNAcentral lists this long non-coding RNA (672 nucleotides) under Elaeis guineensis (African oil palm). RNAcentral describes it as "long non-coding RNA (EGUI_LNC041235)". The record is from RNAcentral. Lineage: Eukaryota; Viridiplantae; Streptophyta; Magnoliopsida; Arecales; Arecaceae.
GCCUUUAGUGAUUGGUGGAAUUCUGACCUUAAGAUCGAUGUCGAUCGUAGGCUUCGUUACUGCUGAUGGUGAGAUAUUAACUUGGAGGUCCAAAGAAUCUUGAUCCGGGGGUUGGCUAGCAUCCGAAUAGGUGUGAUCAUUUUGCCUUAGCUUCCUCUGGCAAAUCCGAUGGUGCUCAUUUUCGUUGGUCCAAGAUUUUUGAGGGUGAGCCCCGAGAUCCAUAGUUGAUGUGGUGUGACCCCAUAAUAGGGGGAAUCUUUGACAACUACUAAAUAAAAUAAUUAGUUUUGAAGAUAUAAAACUAAAAUUUUUAGAAUUGAAUGUAUUAAUCUAAAACUAAUAGAAUUUACGUAGUUGAUAUGGUGGUUUCAAAUAGUCUAAAAUCUCUUUCUAUCAAUGGCUAUCCUUUGACUUCUAACUCCAUCACUAAGUUUGGAUUCAAGUUGUUAAAUAAAAUUUUUCCCCUCCUAAAUCGUUCUACAUUUUUGUUAAAUCAUGCAUCCUUGUAGGCCCUAUAUAUUCAUCAGAGGACUUCUACAUGUUAUUUGAUAGUCCUUAUCACUUCAAAAACUUUUUAAACUUCCAUUGAGAUAACGAACGUUGAUCUUACUUGUCACAUGCAAAGAUGUGCCUAAUCCUAAUAAGAAUAAUGCUAAACACAACCAAGCCCCC